Pangasianodon gigas (Mekong giant catfish) is the source of this 73-nucleotide non-coding RNA. Lineage: Eukaryota; Metazoa; Chordata; Actinopteri; Siluriformes; Pangasiidae. The record is from the annotation of a GenBank genome assembly.
UCCCUGGAGGACUAGUGGUUAGGCCACAUGCUCUCUCACCGCUGCAGCCCGGGUUCGAUUCCCAGCCAGGGAA